Molecule: ribosomal RNA, 256 nt
Filed under: uncultured bacterium
Lineage: Bacteria
Description: partial small subunit ribosomal RNA
Rfam family: Bacterial small subunit ribosomal RNA
Source: RNAcentral
AGGACGAACGCUGGCGGCGUGCUUAACACAUGCAAGUCGAGCGGAAGGGCCCUUCGGGGUACUCGAGCGGCGAACGGGUGAGUAACACGUGAGUAACCUGCCCCAAACUUUGGGAUAACCCUCGGAAACGGGGGCUAAUACCGAAUAUUACUUCUGGUCGCAUGGCUGGUGGUGGAAAGUUUUUUCGGUUUGGGAUGGACUCGCGGCCUAUCAGCUUGUUGGUGAGGUAAUGGCUCACCAAGGCGAGGACGGGUAG